Molecule: ribosomal RNA, 301 nt
Filed under: uncultured bacterium
Lineage: Bacteria
Description: partial 16S ribosomal RNA
Rfam family: Bacterial small subunit ribosomal RNA
Source: RNAcentral
CAGCAGCCGCGGUAAAACGGAGAGUGCAAGCGUUAAUCGGAAUUACAGGGCGUAAAGCGUGCGCAGGCGGUUUGUUAAGACAGAUGUGAAAUCCCCGGGCUCAACCUGUGAAUGGCAAUGGAUACUGGCGAGCUAGAGUGUGUCAGAGGAUGGUGGAAUUCCCGGUGUAGCGGUGAAAUGCGUAGAGAUCGGGAGGAACAUCAGUGGCGAAGGCGGCCAUCUGGGACAACACUGACGCUGAGGCACGAAAGCGUGGGGAGCAAACAGGAUUAGAUACCCCCGUAGUCCCUGUCUCUUAUAC